This 497-nucleotide ribosomal RNA is filed under the name uncultured bacterium. Its description in RNAcentral is "partial 16S ribosomal RNA". It matches the Rfam family "Bacterial small subunit ribosomal RNA", at positions 28 to 507 of the family's 1533-position model. The record is from RNAcentral.
GAUGAAUGCUGGCGGCGUGCCUAAUACAUGCAAGUCGAGCGAACAGACGAGGAGCUUGCUCCUCUGACGUUAGCGGCGGACGGGUGAGUAACACGUGGAUAACCUACCUAUAAGACUGGGAUAACUUCGGGAAACCGGAGCUAAUACCGGAUAAUAUAUUGAACCGCAUGGUUCAAUAGUGAAAGACGGUUUUGCUGUCACUUAUAGAUGGAUCCGCGCCGCAUUAGCUAGUUGGUAAGGUAACGGCUUACCAAGGCAACGAUGCAUAGCCGACCUGAGAGGGUGAUCGGCACCACUGGAACUGCGCCACGGUCCAGACUCCUACGGGAGGCAGCAGUAGGGAAUCUUCCGCAAUGGGCGAAAGCCUGACGGAGCAACGCCGCGUGAGUGAUGAAGGUCUUCGGAUCGUAAAACUCUGUUAUUAGGGAAGAACAAAUGUGUAAGUAACUAUGCACGUCUUGACGGUACCUAAUCAGAAAGCCACGGCUAACUACGUG